CUGACGUGGGUGCUAGCCUCUAAGAUUUAGCCAUGCAUGCUUUGUGAACCCAGACGGGGGAACGGCGAACGGCUCAGUAAUGUUGCGGUGAUCUGCUCUGGUUGAAAAAGAUAACCACGGUAAACUGUGGCUAAGAAACCAGAAUGAGCUGCAACCCUAUCAGUUUGUUGGAAGUGUAAAAGACUCCCAAGACGUCGACGGGUAACGGGAAAUCAGUGUUUGAUUCCGGAGAGGGAGCCUAAGAGAUGGCUCCCACGUCCAAGGAUGGCAGCAGGCGCGAAAAUUGUCCACUCUUUGGAGAGGAGACAGUUAUGAGGCGUGAUUAAAAGAGCGAAGUGUAAACACCUUCGUGUAACGCAAUUGGAGGGCAAGUUUUGGUGCCAGCAGCCGCGGUAAUUCCAACUCCAAGAGUGCCCAUGGUGGAUGCUGCAGUUAAAAAGUCCGUAGUCGUAGAUGCAAUUAAAGGGUGCGGAUCAAGCGCACUGAGCUUGUCGAGUUGUAGCGGAGCGGAUAGGGAGCAUGGUAUAGGUUGGCGAAGAAUGAAAUCUCAAGACCCAACCUGGACCAACUGAGGCGAAAGCGGUGCUCUUAUACGCAUCCGAGGAUCAAGGACGAAGGCUGGAGGAUCGAAAGUGAUUAGAUACCGCUGUAGUUCCAGCAGUAAACUAUGCCGACAUUCUCUGUCCAGCGGACGGGGAAGGGAGAAAUCUUAGUUUUCGGGCUCUGGGGAUAGUACGCUUGCAAGAGUGAAACCUAAAGCGAAAUUGACGGAAGGACACUACCAGGAGUGGAUUGUACCGCUUAAUUUGACUCAACGCGGGAAAACUUACCAGGGUCAAGUUCUCCGUAGAUCGAGUACGUGAGGGGAACGAGAGUGGUGCAUGGCCGUUGGAAAUUGAUGGGAUGACUUUUAGCUUAAAUGCUGAAACCAGUGAGAUUUUCUAGACAGGUGCCAUCCGGCACAGGAGGGCGAAGGCGAUAACAGGUCCGUGAUGCCCUUAGAUAUCCUAGGCUGCAAGUGCAAUACAAUAUCCAUGUCGAUCAAGAAAGGUGAUUAUGGAUGAGCAGGAUUAGCUCUUGUAAAUGAGCUAUGAAUGAGGAAUUCCUAGUAACAGUGUCUCACUAAGGCAUUGUGAAUGCGUCCCUGUUCUUUGUACACACCGCCCGUCACUAUUUCAGAUGGCCAUGAAGAUGAAGAGCUUCGGUUCUGAAUAUUCAUGUCUAGAUAAAGUACAAGUCGUAACAAGGUUGC
RNAcentral lists this ribosomal RNA (1252 nucleotides) under Nucleospora salmonis. RNAcentral describes it as "SSU rRNA". It matches the Rfam family "Microsporidia small subunit ribosomal RNA". The record is from RNAcentral. Lineage: Eukaryota; Fungi; Microsporidia; Enterocytozoonidae.